Long non-coding RNA from Eriocheir sinensis (Chinese mitten crab), 989 nucleotides. RefSeq lists it as uncharacterized. The record is from RefSeq and is a predicted model, not a curated record. The transcript is spliced from 2 exons. NCBI's taxonomy places the organism in Eukaryota, Metazoa, Arthropoda, Malacostraca, Decapoda, Varunidae.
CGCAUGCCGCGCCAAAGCACUCGGCCGGCUCCUGCCAUCCCAGACUCGACAAACGCAGCCUUUGCGCCGUCGCGGUGUUUACGAUUAAUUUAAUAUUCUCGACUGGAGUUGUCCUGCAGUCGUCUGGAGUUCUCGCCCUCCCCAGCCUCGGCGGUGCUUGGGAGCGUCGGGGAGCCCAAGGCCUCCCUGGCGAGCGCCGCAGGGCUGAGGGGUUCCGGCAGGGCGUCUCGGCUCCCUCGGGGCGUCCAUGGCGGUGCCGGAGAUCCUGAGUGUCCAGGGGCGUGGGGAGGGGAGUGCUUUUGGUGCUGUGUGUUGAUAUGGGCGUGUCUUUUCUGGGGUGAAGGAGACUCAUUCGUGUCAGCAGACAGCACCAAGGAAGGGCGAUUUCUGAACAACUCCACCAAAGGGAUAUUACAGGUGAAAAACACCGAAAAUAAGGAGAAUAAACUAAAGAAACAUCAGAAAUAGCAUAACACUGGAACGGAAUUCCAGGAAAUAGAUAUGACGGUAGCACGCCAUGAGAAAAAGGAAAAAAAUAUAACGAAAACACGUACAAAAAUCCAGCAUGAAGGCCCUUGGUGCCGUGUAUUGGUGCGGGAGAGCCUUCUCUGGGGUGAAGGAGACUCGGCUGUAGCAAGAUACGGCACCAGGUGGAGGCGAUGUAGAUACUCUACACAACACUGUCACACGACACAUGAAGAAAAACAACACCGGAGACAGGAUAAUGCAGAAAAGGAAUACCAGGAAAAAAAAUCAGAUACAAAACACAACAUUAACAAAAUAACAACUUGGAUUUAGGACUUUGGUGUGGUAUGCUGGUACGGGUAAGCCUUCUCUGGGGUGAAGGAGACUCAGCUGUAGCAGGAUACCGCAUUAAGGAAAGGCGAUGUAGAUACCCUACACCACACUGUCACGCGGGGAAUAAAGAAAAAUAACACCGGAGACGGAAUAAUACAGAAGAAAAGGAAAAGGAUCACACAGAAACACAA